Molecule: transfer RNA, 73 nt
Filed under: Sedimentisphaerales bacterium
Lineage: Bacteria; Pseudomonadati; Planctomycetota; Phycisphaerae; Sedimentisphaerales
Also listed under: 2 other names
Description: tRNA-Lys
Rfam family: tRNA
About the family: Transfer RNA (tRNA) molecules are approximately 80 nucleotides in length. Their secondary structure includes four short double-helical elements and three loops (D, anti-codon, and T loops).
Source: RNAcentral
GGGCGAUUAGCUCAGUUGGUAGAGCAGCUGACUCUUAAUCAGCGGGUCUCAGGUUCGAGUCCUGAAUCGCCCA